GAUGAACGCUGGCGGCGUGCCUAAUACAUGCAAGUCGAGCGAACAGACGAGGAGCUUGCUCCUCUGACGUUAGCGGCGGACGGGUGAGUAACACGUGGAUAACCUAUCUAUAAGACUGGGAUAACUUCGGGAAACCGGAGCUAAUACCGGAUAAUAUAUUGAACCGCAUGGUUCAAUAGUGAAAGACGGUUUUGCUGUCACUUAUAGAUGGAUCCGCGCCGCAUUAGCUAGUUGGUAAGGUAACGGCUUACCAAGGCAACGAUGCGUAGCCGACCUGAGAGGGUGAUCGGCCACACUGGAACUGAGACACGGUCCAGACUCCUACGGGAGGCAGCAGUAGGGAAUCUUCCGCAAUGGGCGAAAGCCUGACGGAGCAACGCCGCGUGAGUGAUGAAGGUCUUCGGAUCGUAAAACUCUGUUAUUAGGGAAGAACAAAUGUGUAAGUAACUAUGCACGUCUUGACGGUACCUAAUCAGAAAGCCACGGCUAACUACG
This 495-nucleotide ribosomal RNA is filed under the name uncultured bacterium. Its description in RNAcentral is "partial 16S ribosomal RNA". It matches the Rfam family "Bacterial small subunit ribosomal RNA", at positions 28 to 505 of the family's 1533-position model. The record is from RNAcentral.